RNAcentral lists this long non-coding RNA (429 nucleotides) under Gossypium barbadense (sea-island cotton). Its description in RNAcentral is "long non-coding RNA (GBAR_LNC009777)". The record is from RNAcentral. Lineage: Eukaryota; Viridiplantae; Streptophyta; Magnoliopsida; Malvales; Malvaceae.
AAAAUCCACAUUUAUAGAUGUGCCCUUUUACGUAGAGAUUAAUGUGAAGGGAAUAAAGAUGGCAAUGAUUGAUGUAAGGAAAGCAGAUGAGGGAAUAAAUAACAGAUGUUUGUAACAAGUAAGCUUUUAAGAUCUUCAAUUUCUUCUACUGAAUGAUUUCUUUAUAUUGUGGUUGGACUUAGAUAUUGAAGCAGUACUGCAAGUUGUCAACAGAGUUGCCUUGUUUAUCCCAUUGAGAGGAAGCAUAUGCUCUUGGGUAAAUUACUAUUGACUCAUUCAGAUUAUUAGUAUCCUCAUGGCAUUCUUUUCCCCUGAUUUAUCAAUGGAUCAUAUAAAUGCAUGCAGAAUUUGGCAGAGUUGCUCUCAUCUCAAAACUCGUUGAAUGAACACACGGAGCCUGGAUGUUAUUUUCAAUGCCAACCCUAUCAC